Molecule: long non-coding RNA, 205 nt
Filed under: Gossypium barbadense (sea-island cotton)
Lineage: Eukaryota; Viridiplantae; Streptophyta; Magnoliopsida; Malvales; Malvaceae
Description: long non-coding RNA (GBAR_LNC005710)
Source: RNAcentral
UUCAACACAAUACAACAAGUGAUUCAAGUCCUAUCACACCCAGGUAGAGCAACCUUACUUUUGUACCUAAAGAUCUAGAUCACUCACCUUUAAGUUCCCUCAUGAAAACUUAGGGAGUAAGCACAAUUUGUUUACUCUCUCAAAAAUACAUUCCACUGUAAACAAAUAAGUGCUCUCAAUACUCAAUGCAAAACCUUUACUAGUC